GUGCACUUACUGAAGCUUUAGGGUUGUUAUGGUGCUAAAGUUUGCUUUUUUUUCUUCCCACCACUCCAGCAAAAGGAAAGAGCACACACUCUGGAGGAGUAGUUUGCACUCCACUUCAUAAAAAAGCGUUCUCACCAGCAGCCAUGACUUGCUCUAGGAGAAAGGCUCUUGGUAAAAAAGCAAUCACUACGUCUGCAGCCAUGUCUCACUCUGGGGGAAAGGCUCUUGGUAAAAAAGUAAACACUGUACCUGAAGGCACAUAUCAGCCUUUGAGAAGGGCUCUUGGAAAGGUGAAUACAACUACAGGAGUCACGAGCAAGAUGCCCCAGAUGAAGCAGGAAAAUCAGCCCCAGAUGAAGCAGGAAAAUCAGCCCCAGAUGAAGCAGGAAAAUCAGCCUUGCACUGCAAACAAAACUGAUGAAAAGACUGAAUUAGACAGCUGGACUUCAGAGUCUGAUGAAGAUUUGGUAGAGUGUAAAGAAGAAGAUUGGGUUGAGUCUGAAGAAGAUUGGCCAGAAGUAGAAAAUAUGUUUCAUUUUGAUCCUCAAGACUUUGAGGUCUUUGAUGUUCCUGAGGAGUGCAAACUAAGCAAUCUGGACCUGCAUGGUGUUCCCCU
This 616-nucleotide long non-coding RNA is filed under the name Lepidothrix coronata (blue-crowned manakin). RNAcentral's name for it is "lncRNA (ENSLCOG00000007988.1)". The record is from RNAcentral. Lineage: Eukaryota; Metazoa; Chordata; Aves; Passeriformes; Pipridae.